Turdus rufiventris (rufous-bellied thrush) is the source of this 92-nucleotide non-coding RNA. The record is from the annotation of a GenBank genome assembly. Lineage: Eukaryota; Metazoa; Chordata; Aves; Passeriformes; Turdidae.
UUCACUUUGCAAGUACUUACAUGCUGCUGGGCUGGAAUCUUUGCUAAAGGGAUUGCAGGCUCUACAGUGUGUGUGAGUCAUGCUGGUGAAUC